GCGCAGCAGUCGAGAAUACUUUACAAUGUGCGAAAGCACGAUAAGGGAACUCUGAGUGCCUCCUAAGGAGGCUGUUCGGUGUCUAAAAGCACCUGAAGGAAGGGCUGGGUAAGACCGGUGCCAGCCGCCGCGGUAACACCGGCAGCCCAAGUGGUAGCCACGUUUAUUGGGUCUAAAGCGUCCGUAGCCGGCUGGGUAAGUUCCUUGGGAAAUUUGGCUGCUUAACAGUCAAGCUUUCAGGGAAUACUGCCCGGCUUGGGACCGGGAGAGGUCAGAGGUACUCCAGGGGUAGGGGUGAAAUCCAUUAAGUCCUUGGGGGACCACCGGGUAGCGAAGGCGUCUGACCAGACCGGAUCCGACGGUGAGGGACGAAGGCUAGGGGCGCGAACCGGAUUAGA
Molecule: ribosomal RNA, 398 nt
Filed under: uncultured microorganism
Description: bacterial SSU rRNA
Rfam family: Archaeal small subunit ribosomal RNA
Source: RNAcentral